UACGUAGGGGGCGAGCGUUGUCCGGAAUGAUUGGGCGUAAAGGGCGCGUAGGCGGCCUUGUAAGUCUGGAGUGAAAGUCCUGGUUUUAAGCUGGGAAUUGCUUUGGAUACUGUGAGGCUUGAGUGCAGGAGAGGUAAGUGGAAUUCCCAGUGUAGCGGUGAAAUGCGUAAGGAUUGGGUGGAACACCAGUGGCGAAGGCGACUUACUGGACUGUAACUGACGCUGAGGCGCGAAAGUGUGGGGAGCAAAC
Molecule: ribosomal RNA, 250 nt
Filed under: uncultured prokaryote
Description: partial 16S ribosomal RNA
Rfam family: Bacterial small subunit ribosomal RNA
Source: RNAcentral